GACGAACGCUGGCGGCGUGCUUAACACAUGCAAGUCGAACGGAAAGGCCCUGCUUUUGUGGGGUGCUCGAGUUGCGAACGGGUGAGUAACACUUGAGUAACCUGCCCUUGACUUUGGGAUAACUUCAGGAAACUGGGGCUAAUACCGCAUAGGAGCUCCUGCUGCUUGGUGGGGGUUGGAUAGUUUCGGCGGUUGGGGAUGGACUCGCGGCUUAUCAGCUUGUUGGGGGGGUAGUGGAUUACCAAGGCUUUGACGGGUAGCCGGCCUGGGAGGGUGAGCGGCCACAUUGGAACUGAGAUGCGGCCCAGACUCCAACGGGAGGCAGCGGUGGGGAAGAGUGCACAAGGGGCGGAAGCAUGAUGUAGCAACGCCGCGUGCGGGAUGACGGGCUGCGGGUUGGAAAGCGCAGUCGCCUUAGACGAGGCGAGAGUGACGGUAAUGGGUGAAGAAGCACCGGCUAACUACGUG
RNAcentral lists this ribosomal RNA (468 nucleotides) under uncultured bacterium. RNAcentral's name for it is "partial 16S ribosomal RNA". It matches the Rfam family "Bacterial small subunit ribosomal RNA", at positions 28 to 507 of the family's 1533-position model. The record is from RNAcentral.